GUCUCAAAGCUUCAAUACUUAAGUGCGCUAAUUGAAUCUUGAAAUUGGAGAGGUUAGAACAUAUUCAGGACCCUUUGGUGGGAGUUGGAACCUUCACUGAGCAUGGUUUAACUCUUGGAGAUGUGUUUGUUUUGAACAUAAGUUCAUGAGUGAACAUUUUUCUAUGGCAGAUGUAGAGACAAAUGAGUGCUUGGAUAAUAGUGGGGGUUGCUGGCAAGAUAUAGGAGCCAACAUCACAGCCUGCAAGGAUACAUUCCGUGGGAGGGUAUGUGAAUGCCCCCUGGUUAAUGGUGUGCAGUUCAAAUGAGAUGGCUACAGCCACUGUGAAGGUGAGAUUGUUGUACAUUUAGUCUCUAUAUUUGUGUAAGUUUAAUUAAGAGAUGAAUUUUAAUCUGAUGAAUGCGUUAUUUGAGAAUCAUCGUUUCUUUCACAUAUUGUGAACUUGAGAGUUCUGCUGACUAAACCAAGGAAAUGAUGUUAAUGUUAUAAUAUUUUGAUUUA
This is a long non-coding RNA of Pistacia vera, 501 nucleotides long. RefSeq lists it as uncharacterized. The record is from RefSeq and is a predicted model, not a curated record. NCBI's taxonomy places the organism in Eukaryota, Viridiplantae, Streptophyta, Magnoliopsida, Sapindales, Anacardiaceae. The transcript is spliced from 2 exons.